AUGAACGCUGGCGGCGUGCCUAAUACAUGCAAGUCGAGCGAACAGACGAGGAGCUUGCUCCUCUGACGUUAGCGGCGGACGGGUGAGUAACACGUGGAUAACCUACCUAUAAGACUGGGAUAACUUCGGGAAACCGGAGCUAAUACCGGAUAAUAUAUUGAACCGCAUGGUUCAAUAGUGAAAGACGGUUUUGCUGUCACUUAUAGAUGGAUCCGCGCCGCAUUAGCUAGUUGGUAAGGUAACGGCUUACCAAGGCAACGAUGCGAAGCCGACCUGAGAGGGUGAUCGGCCACACUGGAACUGAGACACGGUCCAGACUCCUACGGGAGGCAGCAGUAGGGAAUCUUCCGCAAUGGGCGAAAGCCUGACGGAGCAACGCCGCGUGAGUGAUGAAGGUCUUCGGAUCGUAAAACUCUGUUAUUAGGGAAGAACAAAUGUGUAAGUAACUAUGCACGUCUUGACGGUACCUAAUCAGAAAGCCACGGCUAACUACGUG
Molecule: ribosomal RNA, 496 nt
Filed under: uncultured bacterium
Lineage: Bacteria
Description: partial 16S ribosomal RNA
Rfam family: Bacterial small subunit ribosomal RNA
Source: RNAcentral